Molecule: unclassified non-coding RNA, 197 nt
Filed under: plant metagenome
Description: partial contains small subunit ribosomal RNA, internal transcribed spacer 1, and 5.8S ribosomal RNA
Source: RNAcentral
GCUCCGUUGGUGAACCAGCGGAGGGAUCAUUACCGAGUGCAAACUCAUAACCCUUUGUGAACCUGUAUCUGUUGCUUCGGCGGCUCGCUCUCGGGCGAGCCCGCCGGUAAUAUCAGUAUCUCUGUUUGAACCCGACGAUACUUCUGAGUGUUCUUAGCGAACAGUUAAAACUUUUAACAACGGAUCUCUUGGCUCUA